AUUGAACGCUGGCGGCAUGCCUUACACAUGCAAGUCGAACGGUAACAGGUUAAGCUGACGAGUGGCGAACGGGUGAGUAAUGUAUCGGAACGUGCCCAGUCGUGGGGGAUAACUGCUCGAAAGAGCAGCUAAUACCGCAUACGACCUGAGGGUGAAAGCGGGGGAUCGCAAGACCUCGCGCGAUUGGAGCGGCCGAUAUCAGAUUAGGUAGUUGGUGAGGUAAGGCUCACCAAGCCGACGAUCUGUAGCUGGUCUGAGAGGACGACCAGCCACACUGGGACUGAGACACGGCCCAGACUCCUACGGGAGGCAGCAGUGGGGAAUUUUGGACAAUGGGCGCAAGCCUGAUCCAGCCAUGCCGCGUGCGGGAAGAAGGCCUUCGGGUUGUAAACCGCUUUUGUCAGGGAAGAAAAGGUUCUGGCUAAUACCUGGGACUCAUGACGGUACCUGAAGAAUAAGCACCGGCUAACUACGUG
RNAcentral lists this ribosomal RNA (476 nucleotides) under uncultured bacterium. RNAcentral's name for it is "partial 16S ribosomal RNA". It matches the Rfam family "Bacterial small subunit ribosomal RNA", at positions 30 to 507 of the family's 1533-position model. The record is from RNAcentral.